AGCGGAAGGCCCUUCUGGGUACUCGAGCGGCGAACGGGUGAGUAACACGUGAGCAACCUGCCCUAGGCUUUGGGAUAACCCUCGGAAACGGGGGCUAAUACCGAAUAUGACCUCGCAUCGCAUGGUGUGUGGUGGAAAGUUUUUCGGCCUGGGAUGGGCUCGCGGCCUAUCAGCUUGUUGGUGGGGUGAUGGCCUACCAAGGCGACGACGGGUAGCCGGCCUGAGAGGGCGACCGGCCACACUGGGACUGAGACACGGCCCAGACUCCUACGGGAGGCAGCAGUGGGGAAUAUUGCACAAUGGGCGGAAGCCUGAUGCAGCGACGCCGCGUGAGGGAUGACGGCCUUCGGGUUGUAAACCUCUUUCAGCAGGGACGAAGCGUAAGUGACGGUACCUGCAGAAGAAGCGCCGGCCAACUACGUGCCAGCAGCCGCGGUAAGACGUAGGGCGCGAGCGUUGUCCGGAUUUAUUGGGCGUAAAGAGCUCGUAGGCGGCUUGUCGCGUCGACCGUGAAAACCUGGGGCUCAACCCCAGGCCUGCGGUCGAUACGGGCAGGCUAGAGUUCGGUAGGGGAGACUGGAAUUCCUGGUGUAGCGGUGAAAUGCGCAGAUAUCAGGAGGAACACCGGUGGCGAAGGCGGGUCUCUGGGCCGAUACUGACGC
This 662-nucleotide ribosomal RNA is filed under the name Micromonospora schwarzwaldensis. RNAcentral describes it as "bacterial SSU rRNA". It matches the Rfam family "Bacterial small subunit ribosomal RNA", at positions 65 to 746 of the family's 1533-position model. The record is from RNAcentral. Lineage: Bacteria; Bacillati; Actinomycetota; Actinomycetes; Micromonosporales; Micromonosporaceae.